This 497-nucleotide ribosomal RNA is filed under the name uncultured bacterium. RNAcentral's name for it is "partial 16S ribosomal RNA". It matches the Rfam family "Bacterial small subunit ribosomal RNA", at positions 28 to 507 of the family's 1533-position model. The record is from RNAcentral.
GAUGAACGCUGGCGGCGUGCCUAAUACAUGCAAGUCGAGCGAACAGACGAGGAGCUUGCUCCUCUGACGUUAGCGGCGGACGGGUGAGUAACACGUGGAUAACCUACCUAUAAGACUGGGAUAACUUCGGGAAACCGGAGCUAAUACCGGAUAAUAUAUUGAACCGCAUGGUUCAAUAGUGAAAGACGGUUUUGCUGUCACUUAUAGAUGGAUCCGCGCCGCAUUAGCUAGUUGGUAAGGUAACGGCUUACCAAGGCAACGAUGCGUAGCCGACCUGAGGGGGUGAUCGCCCACACUGGAACUGAGACACGGUCCAGACUCCUACGGGAGGCAGCAGUAGGGAAUCUUCCGCAAUGGGCGAAAGCCUGACGGAGCAGCGCCGCGUGAGUGAUGAAGGUCUUCGGAUCGUAAAACUCUGUUAUUAGGGAAGAACAAAUGUGUAAGUAACUAUGCACGUCUUGACGGUACCUAAUCAGAAAGCCACGGCUAACUACGUG